AGAGUUUGAUCAUGGCUCAGAUUGAACGCUGGCGGCAGGCCUAACACAUGCAAGUCGAGCGGUAGCACAGAGAGCUUGCUCUCGGGUGACGAGCGGCGGACGGGUGAGUAAUGUCUGGGAAACUGCCUGAUGGAGGGGGAUAACUACUGGAAACGGUAGCUAAUACCGCAUAAUGUCGCAAGACCAAAGUGGGGGACCUUCGGGCCUCAUGCCAUCAGAUGUGCCCAGAUGGGAUUAGCUAGUAGGUGGGGUAACGGCUCACCUAGGCGACGAUCCCUAGCUGGUCUGAGAGGAUGACCAGCCACACUGGAACUGAGACACGGUCCAGACUCCUACGGGAGGCAGCAGUGGGGAAUAUUGCACAAUGGGCGCAAGCCUGAUGCAGCCAUGCCGCGUGUGUGAAGAAGGCCUUCGGGUUGUAAAGCACUUUCAGCGGGGAGGAAGGCGAUAAGGUUAAUAACCUUGUCGAUUGACGUUACCCGCAGAAGAAGCACCGGCUAACUCCGUGCCAGCAGCCGCGGUAAUACGGAGGGUGCAAGCGUUAAUCGGAAUUACUGGGCGUAAAGCGCACGCAGGCGGUCUGUCAAGUCGGAUGUGAAAUCCCCGGGCUCAACCUGGGAACUGCAUUCGAAACUGGCAGGCUAGAGUCUUGUAGAGGGGGGUAGAAUUCCAGGUGUAGCGGUGAAAUGCGUAGAGAUCUGGAGGAAUACCGGUGGCGAAGGCGGCCCCCUGGACAAAGACUGACGCUCAGGUGCGAAAGCGUGGGGAGCAAACAGGAUUAGAUACCCUGGUAGUCCACGCCGUAAACGAUGUCGAUUUGGAGGUUGUGCCCUUGAGGCGUGGCUUCCGGAGCUAACGCGUUAAAUCGACCGCCUGGGGAGUACGGCCGCAAGGUUAAAACUCAAAUGAAUUGACGGGGGCCCGCACAAGCGGUGGAGCAUGUGGUUUAAUUCGAUGCAACGCGAAGAACCUUACCUGGUCUUGACAUCCACAGAACUUNNNNNNNNNNNNNNNNNNNNNNNNNNNNNNNNNNNNNNGGCCGGGAACUCAAAGGAGACUGCCAGUGAUAAACUGGAGGAAGGUGGGGAUGACGUCAAGUCAUCAUGGCCCUUACGACCAGGGCUACACACGUGCUACAAUGGCAUAUACAAAGAGAAGCGACCUCGCGAGAGCAAGCGGACCUCAUAAAGUAUGUCGUAGUCCGGAUUGGAGUCUGCAACUCGACUCCAUGAAGUCGGAAUCGCUAGUAAUCGUAGAUCAGAAUGCUACGGUGAAUACGUUCCCGGGCCUUGUACACACCGCCCGUCACACCAUGGGAGUGGGUUGCAAAAGAAGUAGGUAGCUUAACCUUCGGGAGGGCGCUUACCACUUUGUGAUUCAUGACUGGGGUGAAGUCGUAACAAGGUAACCGUAGGGGAACCUGCGGUUGGAUCACCU
This 1437-nucleotide ribosomal RNA is filed under the name Klebsiella pneumoniae. Its description in RNAcentral is "16S ribosomal RNA". It matches the Rfam family "Bacterial small subunit ribosomal RNA". Lineage: Bacteria; Pseudomonadati; Pseudomonadota; Gammaproteobacteria; Enterobacterales; Enterobacteriaceae. The record is from RNAcentral.